UGACUGUUGAUGCUGGUGGUUAUGGAGAUAUGGUGGCGGCUGCGGGCUGAUGGUAGGGUAUGUAGCGCUGAGCUGUCUUGCCGGCUGCCUGUUGGAGCGUGGUGCCACAAGCCAGGCUGCCUUUUUGCAAGCACAGUCACACAACCAUUUGCUGGAGAUUAUUUUGACAAAGGCAGAUGGUAAUGAACUAUGAUCAUAGAACUCCAGAAUGCCACACAAAAUUGGAUUUGUUACAAUAAGCUGCUCUGGCCAUGAAGAUGGGUAUAAUUCCAACGAGCUAAUGGUGCAUGCGCCUACAGUAAACGGUUGGCGUUCCCCAAGGUUCUGCCUUUACCCACAGGAGAUUGUCCUGCAAAUGGUGGAGCGCUGUCGAAUUCGUAAGCUGCAGUUACUUGCACACCAGUACUUGAUUUCUACGAAAAUUGAAUUUUACAUUAGUGACAGUCUUCCAGAUCACCUAGGACCCCACCAUGUGGAGAGAUUCCGCAGACUUG
Rhincodon typus (whale shark) is the source of this 494-nucleotide RNA transcript. RefSeq lists it as uncharacterized. Lineage: Eukaryota; Metazoa; Chordata; Chondrichthyes; Orectolobiformes; Rhincodontidae. The transcript is spliced from 4 exons. The record is from RefSeq and is a predicted model, not a curated record.